AGUGAACGCUGGCGGUAGGCCUAACACAUGCCAGUCGAACGGCAGCACAGUAAGAGCUUGCUCUUACGGGUAGCGAGUGGCGGACGGGUGAGGCAUACAUCGGAAUCUACUUUUUCGUGGGGGAUAACGUAGGGAAACUUACGCUAAUACCGCAUACGACCUACGGGUGAAAGCAGGGGAUCUUCGGACCUUGCGCGAUUGAAUGAGCCGAUGUCGGAUUAGCUAGUUGGCGGGGUAAAGGCCCACCAAGGCGACGAUCCGUAGCUGGUCUGAGAGGAUGAUCAGCCACACUGGAACUGAGACACGGUCCAGACUCCUACGGGAGGCAGCAGUGGGGAAUAUUGGACAAUGGGCGCAAGCCUGAUCCAGCCAUACCGCGUGGGUGAAGAAGGCCUUCGGGUUGUAAAGCCCUUUUGUUGGGAAAGAAAAGCAGCAGGUUAAUACCCCGCUGUUCUGACGGUACCCAAAGAAUAAGCACCGGCUAACUUCGUG
This 492-nucleotide ribosomal RNA is filed under the name uncultured bacterium. RNAcentral describes it as "partial 16S ribosomal RNA". It matches the Rfam family "Bacterial small subunit ribosomal RNA", at positions 29 to 507 of the family's 1533-position model. The record is from RNAcentral.